GUUACAGGGGGGGGGGGGACACACAUUUUACCACUUUGGAAGUGUCUCUCGCGCAAACUAUUCAGUUUAGAAAAACAUGAUAUUAGAAACCUCAAUAUCAUUUUUGAAGACCUAUCCAUAGAUACCCCACACGUAUGGGUAUGAUGAAAAAAAAAUUUUUGAGUUUCAGUUCGAAACGUAUAAAAAAAAACUACUUACUAGAUCUCGUUCAAACCAAUUUUCGGUGGAAGUUUACAUGGUAAUGUACAUCAUAUAUUUUUUUUAGUUUUAUCAUUCUCUUAUUUUAGAAGUUACAGGGGGGGGGGACACAUUUUACCACUUUGGAAGUGUCUCUCACGCAAACUAUUCAGUUUAGAAAAAAAUGAUAUUAGAAACCUCAAUAUCAUUUUUGAAGACCUAUCCAUAGAUACCCCACACGUAUGGGUUUGAUGAAAAAAAAAUUUUUGAUUAAUCUCUAACAAGUAUUAAAAAAA
This is a long non-coding RNA of Cydia amplana, 473 nucleotides long. RefSeq lists it as uncharacterized. The record is from RefSeq and is a predicted model, not a curated record. The transcript has 3 exons. NCBI's taxonomy places the organism in Eukaryota, Metazoa, Arthropoda, Insecta, Lepidoptera, Tortricidae.